AAACUAUACGGCUUUAAGAGCCAACCAGGGAUUCUGAGGUGUCUUCCUUGGUUGACUACAUCCAUGAGACGACAAAACACACUGUGCAAAGGACCUUGAGAACAUCACCACUCUACAGGAAGACACAGUCCAGUAAUGGGUGUCAGAUGUUCAGCAGUGGACGACAGGACCAACCAAUCAAAAUGACUUGCAGAACGCCAUUGAGGACUCUAUUUGAGCAUUAAGCAGCAAAGAUUUCAGCUGUAUCGUCAGGCUGGCAGUACUGAGGCAUUUACGGAGACGGGACAUGAGGGUCUACUCUGCGUGCUCAAGAGAAGAUUGCACAAAGUUCAAGCUCAGCAGGCUGCAGUGGGUCCGACAUAUUCUGGAACGGCAACAAUGUCUUUGGAUGACUCCUCCUCUGAAGAGGAAAACAUGGAGAGUUACUUCUUCGCUGCUCAAGAACUGCGAGUGCUGUGAUUAGUUCUUCUCAAGUGAAGCUGUACCACUGUGCUCCAGCUCCACACUCCCUCCUGCAGCCUCCGCUCCUGAUGCUAACCUCCUGUCUCCAUCACACCAAGCAGCAAACCUGGAGUGACAGAACCUUCUCCAUAGCUGCCCCCUCCCUCUGAAACCCCCUCUCCCAAACACUAUUUUUGUAUUUUUUUGCAUGAGAAUUGUUGAUCAUAUCAUUUCCAGCAACUGCCUUAAUGUAAUUUCUGUGCAUAAUAAAUGACAUUGAUCAUAACAUA
Molecule: long non-coding RNA, 731 nt
Organism: Hippoglossus stenolepis (Pacific halibut)
Lineage: Eukaryota; Metazoa; Chordata; Actinopteri; Pleuronectiformes; Pleuronectidae
Exons: 6
Source: RefSeq, a predicted model, not a curated record